AUAUUGGCGAGAGACCGAUAGCGAACAAGUACCGUGAGGGAAAGACGAAAAGCACUUUGGAAAGAGAGUUAAACAGUAUGUGAAAUUGUUAAAAGGGAAACGAUUGAAGUCAGUCGUGCUCUUUGGAUUCAGCCGGUUCUGCCGGUGUACUUCCAUUGAGUGGGGUCAACAUCAGUUUUGAUCGCUGGAUAAAGGCAGGAAGAAUGUAGCACCUCCGGGUGAACUUAUAGCUUUCUGUCACAUACAGUGGUUGGGACUGAGGAACGCAGCAUGCCUUUAUGGCCGGGAUUCGUCCACGUACAUGCUUAGGAUAUUGACAUAAUGGCUUUAAACGACCCGUCUUGAAACACGGACC
RNAcentral lists this ribosomal RNA (355 nucleotides) under uncultured fungus. RNAcentral's name for it is "LSU rRNA". It matches the Rfam family "Eukaryotic large subunit ribosomal RNA", at positions 320 to 667 of the family's 3401-position model. Lineage: Eukaryota; Fungi. The record is from RNAcentral.